Molecule: long non-coding RNA, 1374 nt
Organism: Pseudoliparis swirei
Lineage: Eukaryota; Metazoa; Chordata; Actinopteri; Perciformes; Liparidae
Exons: 2
Source: RefSeq, a predicted model, not a curated record
GUCUCUGCUGAGUUCAGGUGAGUCUUGGUCUCUGCCGAGUUCAGGUGUUGCGCUCUUGCUCGUGAAGUUUCCGUGAUGUUGCCCAAGAACCAACUAUACAGAAAAUUUAGGAGAGAAAUUUCGACAUUUAAAUAAAUAAUAAUAGAAAACAUAAUUAAUGAAUUGGGAUUCAGUGAAUAUUUAUUCUCCUUAUUUAACUGUUUAAUGUUAUUUAAGAUGCAUUUUUAAUCUAAUAAUCCAACUAUACAGAAAAUUCGACAUUUAAAUAAAUAAUAAUAAAAAACAUAAUUAAUAAAUUGGGAUUCAGUGAAUACUCAUUCUCCUUAUUUCACUGUUUAAUGUUAUUUAAGAUGAUUUUUUAAUCUUGUUGAUGAUCUAACUAAACACAAAAUACUGCUUUUAGAAUACAUGUCAUAUUUAAAUAGCUCAUUAAGAAUUGUGGCACAUAAACUGCAAAAUAAUCAUUUCACAGAAUACAAAUUAAUAUGUAAAAUGUUGCAUAAUAAUAAUAAUACAUGUAAGUAAAGACAAGUACUUUUCACCUGCAAUUUUUUCUCCAGUCUAGUUCUUUUACUCACCAAACAAAAAGCUCCUUCCAGAAGUAUCCAAACAAAGCACCGCCUGGGGAACAUCUCUACAGGGUGAUUAUUCAGAUCCACCACGUUCACCUGAGCUUCAAUCAGGCCGAGUACCUCUCUACCCAAUAUCUGGACUGCCAGCUCUCGAUCAGAUGAUGGAAAUUCUCCACGGAUUGACCUGCAGCGACCUUUUGUCUAUUUUGGAAGGACGCAUGAUCACAAUUAUGUAUCUUGAAUUAACUUGUAAUUUCUUUUCAUAGACUAUUAACAUCUAAUUCAAUUAGCCACCACUGAUUACAGACUACUUCCAAUACAAGGUAAUUUAAUUAAGCUAAAUGAGAAAUUACAUGUAUUAACAUCUACAAAAGAAAAUAUAUGAAUUGCAGCUGUUGACAAGAACUUCUUGACAUCUACUUGAUGUAUUUAUUUAUUUCCAGGUCAACCACAAUGGACACAAUGUCCUAUAAAUUGCUCGUGUUGAGAGUUCCUCACUGAGAACUCUUGUCUCUAGAGUUUUAGGAGUUUUUCUUUACAACAUUAGAGGGCAGCACAAGCUCAAAUACACACUUGGCUCUUUUUUUCAUGGAACUCAUAUCUGCUUCUCACGUUUUGUUAUUUAGCAUAAAGUUUAUCACCUGUAACCUCUGGGCUUUUACAGUGAUUAUCAUGACCACAUUUACAUAUUUUAUGACUGACAAUCCUUAAUAAUAAAUAUUCAGAUGAAUAAUUAAUUCAUUCAUUUGAGAAAUAAUAAUCCUAUUUUAUCCAGUUUUAAAUAAAGUUUGAACUUUCUACA